Molecule: unclassified non-coding RNA, 365 nt
Filed under: soil metagenome
Description: partial contains 5.8S ribosomal RNA, internal transcribed spacer 2, and large subunit ribosomal RNA
Rfam family: 5.8S ribosomal RNA (bases 1-120)
Source: RNAcentral
GAUGAAGAACGCAGCGAAAUGCGAUAAGUAAUGUGAAUUGCAGAAUUCAGUGAAUCAUCGAAUCUUUGAACGCACAUUGCGCCCGCCAGCAUUCUGGCGGGCAUGCCUGUUCGAGCGUCAUUUCAACCCUCGCAGCCCAUCUGGGCAGCGGUGUUGGGGACCGGCACCACCGGCGAAGCCCUUAGGGGCCCAGCCGGCGCCGCCCCCGAAAUACAGUGGCGGUCUCGCUGCAGCCUCCCUUGCGUAGUAGCACACCUCGCACCGGAGCGCAGCGCGGCCACGCCGUAAAACCCCCGACCUUCUGAGUUUGACCUCGAAUCAGGUAGGAAUACCCGCUGAACUUAAGCAUAUCAAUAAGCGGAGGA